GAUGAACGCUGGCGGCGUGCUUAACACAUGCAAGUCGAACGGUGAAGCUCCAGCUUGCUGGAGUGGAUCAGUGGCGAACAGGUGAGUAACACGUGAGCAACCUGCCCCUGACUCUGGGAUAACAGCCGGAAACGGCUGCUAAUACCGGAUAUGCACCAUGAACGCAUGUUCUGUGGUGGGAAAGAUUUUUCGGUUGGGGAUGGGCUCGCGGCCUAUCAGCUUGUUGGUGAGGUAAUGGCUCACCAAGGCGUCGACGGGUAGCCGGCCUGAGAGGGUGACCGGCCACACUGGGACUGAGACACGGCCCAGACUCCUACGGGAGGCAGCAGUGGGGAAUAUUGCACAAUGGGCGAAAGCCUGAUGCAGCAACGCCGCGUGAGGGAUGACGGCCUUCGGGUUGUAAACCUCUUUUAGCAGGGAAGAAGCGAGAGUGACGGUACCUGCAGAAAAAGCGCCGGCUAACUACGUG
This 469-nucleotide ribosomal RNA is filed under the name uncultured bacterium. RNAcentral describes it as "partial 16S ribosomal RNA". It matches the Rfam family "Bacterial small subunit ribosomal RNA", at positions 28 to 507 of the family's 1533-position model. The record is from RNAcentral.